This 253-nucleotide ribosomal RNA is filed under the name uncultured bacterium. RNAcentral's name for it is "partial 16S ribosomal RNA". It matches the Rfam family "Bacterial small subunit ribosomal RNA", at positions 524 to 776 of the family's 1533-position model. The record is from RNAcentral.
UACAGAGGGGGCAAGCGUUGUUCGGAAUUACUGGGCGGAAAGGGCGCGUAGGCGGCCGGCUAAGUCGAACGUGAAAUCCCCGGGCUCAACCCGGGAACUGCGUCCGAUACUGGUCGGCUUGAAUUCGGGAGAGGGAUGCGGAAUUCCAGGUGUAGCGGUGAAAUGCGUAGAUAUCUGGAGGAACACCGGUGGCGAAGGCGGCAUCCUGGACCGAGAUUGACGCUGAGGCGCGAAAGCCAGGGGAGCAAACGGG